This 497-nucleotide ribosomal RNA is filed under the name uncultured bacterium. Its description in RNAcentral is "partial 16S ribosomal RNA". It matches the Rfam family "Bacterial small subunit ribosomal RNA", at positions 28 to 507 of the family's 1533-position model. The record is from RNAcentral.
GAUGAACGCUGGCGGCGUGCCUAAUACAUGCAAGUCGAGCGAACGGACGAGAAGCUUGCUUCUCUGAUGUUAGCGGCGGACGGGUGAGUAACACGUGGAUAACCUACCUAUAAGACUGGGAUAACUUCGGGAAACCGGAGCUAAUACCGGAUGAUAUUUUGAACCGCAUGGUUCAAAAGUGAAAGACGGUCUUGCUGUCACUUAUAGAUGGAUCCGCGCUGCAUUAGCUAGUUGGUAAGGUAACGGCUUACCAAGGCAACGAUGCAUAGCCGACCUGAGAGGGUGAUCGGCCACACUGGAACUGAGACACGGUCCAGACUCCUACGGGAGGCAGCAGUAGGAAAUCUUCCGCAAUGGGCGAAAGCCUGACGGAGCAACGCCGCGUGAGUGAUGAAGGUCUUCGGAUCGUAAAACUCUGUUAUUAGGGAAGAACAUAUGUGUAAGUAACUGUGCACAUCUUGACGGUACCUAAUCAGAAAGCCACGGCUAACUACGUG